GAUGAACGCUGGCGGCGUGCCUAAUACAUGCAAGUCGAGCGAACGGACGAGAAGCUUGCUUUUCUGAUGUUAGUGGCGGACGGGUGAGUAACACGUGGAUAACCUACCUAUAAGACUGGGAUAACUUCGGGAAACCGGAGCUAAUACCGGAUAAUAUUUUGAACCGCAUGGUUCAAAAGUGAAAGACGGUCUUGCUGUCACUUAUAGAUGGAUCCGCGCUGCAUUAGCUAGUUGGUAAGGUAACGGCUUACCAAGGCAACGAUGCAUAGCCGACCUGAGAGGGUGAUCGGCCACACUGGAACUGAGACACGGUCCAGACUCCUACGGGAGGCAGCAGUAGGGAAUCUUCCGCAAUGGGCGAAAGCCUGACGGAGCAACGCCGCGUGAGUGGUGAAGGUCUUCGGAUCGUAAAACUCUGUUAUUAGGGAAGAACAUAUGUGUAAGUAACUGUGCACAUCUUGACGGUACCUAAUCAGAAAGCCACGGCUAACUACGUG
This 497-nucleotide ribosomal RNA is filed under the name uncultured bacterium. RNAcentral describes it as "partial 16S ribosomal RNA". It matches the Rfam family "Bacterial small subunit ribosomal RNA", at positions 28 to 507 of the family's 1533-position model. The record is from RNAcentral.